UCUGCCUCCCCUUCCUUAUCUUUUGAAAAUAUUCUGCGAUCGACCUUAAAGCCUAUUACAUUAUUUUUUUCUACAACUUUAAUUCAUCCAAUAAGGGGGACUCUUCCCUUUUCUGUUUUCCAUUUGUGUUAGCUAUGAUUGUUGUUUCCCAUCCCAUAUUACUUGAUAUUAUUAAUUAUUCAUCUCAUCCCUCUAAACUUGCCAUCUACCAUUAAAAAAAAUUUAAAUAACUCCCCUUGCUAUUAGUUGAUGUCCUUCUGUUAUAGCUGGUAGUUGAUCAACUGCUUUAAAUCUUCCCUCAUUGCUUCAUCUCUCUCCCACUCAAUUUUUGGUUGUUGGUUGCCUUAAUUCCGUUAACAAAUCAAACGACGAGAAAAGAAGAAAAACUGACUGCAGAUUCUGAAUCGUAUUCUGUUCCCGGUUCCCAUGUACAAAUUUUUCAUGCUAGCUUGAAUUGUGUCGCAUGUUUUAAUUCUAUAUCAACUAUUUCUGAAAAAUAUUGUUGCUUUCUCUUGUUUCUCUUACCUUUGCAAGAAGAUGCCUCCUACAUAUUUUCCUCUCCGGUGGGAAAGCACCGGAGACCAAUGGUGGUACGCGUCUCCGAUCGAUUACGCAGCCGCCAACGGCCACUACGACUUGGUUCGAGAGCUUCUCCGCAUAGACGGCAACCACCUCAUCAAGCUCACAUCUCUCCGCCGUAUUCGCCGCCUCGAGGCAGUGUGGGACGACGAAGCUCAGUAUGAUGAUGUAGCCAAGUGUCGUUCGUGCGUUGCGCGAAAGCUCUUCAACGAAUGCGAGUCCAAGAAAGGAAAACCAAACUCUCUCAUAAGGGCUGGAUACGGCGGUUGGCUUAUGUACACCGCUGCCUCCGCCGGGGAGCUUGGUUUUGUCCAAGAACUGCUCGAGAGAAACCCUCUGCUUGUUUUCGGGGAAGGAGAAUACGGGGUGACUGAUAUUUUAUAUGCUGCUGCGAAGAGCAAGAAUGUUGAGAUUUUCAGGCUGCUUUUUGACUUUGCAGUUUCGCCGAGGUUUAUGACGGGGAGUGGUGGAGAGCUGGAAGAGCACAUUGGGGAGAUACCUUGUGUUUAUAAACGGGAGAUGGUUAACAGGGCGGUUCAUGCGGCGGCGAGAGGCGGAAAUUUGAGUGUUUUGAAGGAGCUUCUUUCGGAUUGUGAGGAUGUUUUGGCUUAUGGGGAUAUUCAGGGAUCAACUGUGCUACAUGCAGCGGCUGGGAAAGGGCGGGUAGAGGUAGUGAAGUAUCUUGUAGCAUCCUUUGAUAUCAUAAACUCCACUGAUCUCCAAGGCGACACAGCGUUACAUGUUGCAGCUUCAAGGGGCCAACUAGCCGCAGCCGAAGCGCUUAUAUUGGCAUCUCCGUCGUCUAUUAAUGCACGAAACAACUCCGGAGAAACGUUUCUCCACAAGGCUAUAUCCGGCUUCCAAAGCCCUGCCUUCCGAAGACUGGACAGACAAAUUCAGCUUCUGAAGCAACUGGUGUGCGAGAAAGCUUUCAAUAUCGAACAAAUCAUCAAUGCAAAAAACAACGAAGGACGGACUGCCCUUCACACAGCAAUCAUUGGGGAUGUGCAUUCCGAUUUAGUCCAACUCCUGAUGAUUGUGCAAUCGAUUGAUGUGAACGCCCGCGAUGUGGAUGGCAUGACAGCGCUAGAUUACAUUAGGCAAUGGCCUCGUUCGGCAUCAUCUGAUAUACUAAUCAGGCAGUUGAUUUCGGCUGGGGGAAUAUUUGGUUGUCAGGAUUACAAUGCAAGAAAAGCGAUUGCUUCACGCUUGAAGACACAAGGCGAUGGAGGUAGUCCCGGAACAUCAUUUAGAAUCUCUGACACGGAAAUCUUCUUGUAUACUGGCAUUGAAAAUGUAACAGAUGCUACUGCUGAUCGCCGUAGCAUAGGAAUCAAUUCAUCUCCACCCGAACUGAUCAGUCCGUAUCCAACUGCUGAAAAUAACGGCAGCUCAUUCGCUAGUAAAAAACCUGGUUCUGUAAAUAAUGCAGCAGCACAACUAAAACGUGUCGUAGGCUGGCCACAAAUGAAACCGAAAAAGCACGAAAGGUUCAAGAAAUCGGUUGAUUUGGGAUCAGUAGAGUCUAUUAAAAUAUGCAACAAAAGCUCAGAUGAUGCAGCUCCGACCCCGCUUCGACAGAGAUUUUCGAGGCCCUCAGUCUCAUCAGUUCCCAGCAACAAGCGGACACUUUCGGUGAGGAGCAACCAGUCAAGUCCAUCAGCGAAAAAGAGGUUUGCUUGUGGCAUAAGGCGUGGCGUAAUGCAGGCAAUUCCGCACAUAACUGUGCCACGUCGUUCUCGGUCUAGUUCAUUUUCGAAAUCAUCCUCAAUUUCUUCACCUACUUCUCUAGAUAUUCAGAAAAACGUUUGCAUGGAAACUGACAUUGCAGGACCGUCUUGGUCGACUGAAGUAGCUGAUGACGAACCGCCGAAUUUGGCGAAACAAGGCUCGCUUAAUAAGAGGCCGAGGAGACAGUAUUUCUGUUUUGGUGCAUCACGAUUGUCUGUGAAAAGCCCAGUUAACAGGCAGCAGCAAAGUUUCAAGCAUUCUCCUGUUAUUUCAGUUGCUUGAUUGGACUUUGAUGCGAAGAGUUUGGUCCUUGCAAACUCACUAACAUAGAAGAAGAUCCAUUUCAAGUCAUAUGUGACAAACGCCAUGCUGCACUGAAAGAUUGUGCAACGGUUUGUAGCUUACGUGGUCAUGAUCGUUCAUCCACUACAUCAGAGAUCCUGCGUUUGAUUCUCCCCUCCCCCAGUAUCGCUCGUAUUAAAAAAAAAAAAAAAAAACAAUGUGAUACUGCAAUCAUGGGAAGAUCAGAUUAUGCUCCUCAUCCAACUCCUAUAACUAUUAAGGAGAUUGGCAUAAUUAUAGGUUCUAGUGCACUCCUCCUUAUAAUCUGUCCAGGAAACGUUUCACUUUGAAGCUCCUUGAUUUGUAUAGAAGAAAAAAAUAUGAGAACCAAAAAUCAAGAAGCAAAGAUGUAUGAUUUCAUAAGUUCAAAAUACGUAUGAUAUAUUGCAGAAAUGUUGGACCAAUUGAAUGCAA
This is a non-coding RNA of Malus domestica (apple), 3066 nucleotides long. Lineage: Eukaryota; Viridiplantae; Streptophyta; Magnoliopsida; Rosales; Rosaceae. The record is from RefSeq and is a predicted model, not a curated record.